UACUUUGAAUGUCAAAUGAAAUGAACAGAAUAAUGCAUUAGAUUGAUAUUUUUAUCUUUGUUCAUCCAUGUGCAGCAAAAUCUGGAGCAGAGGAGAAGCAGACAGAGCCAGACAGAGACACAAGAGAGAUCAGAAACCGAGCUGAAAUACAGAGACCGGGCCGCAGAAAGGAGAGAAAAAGGGGCCGUCCCACAAGCACCAGAUGCAAAAAAGAGGAGAUUCAGCCCUGUCAGUGGCGUGGGAUCUCAGAUGCUUCCUGGAAGAAUGGAAAAGGGCUUUUUCAUCCGGAACCUGCCAGUGGAAUAAUGGUGGAUGUCUUUGGACUUCCUUCAGUGCUAAACGAAAUGCCUCGGGAGCAGUUUUUAAUCAUAUGGUGCAGAGCACGUGCGCAAUGCAAAGAGACCAUCUCCAGGAUAUUUGACAAACAGUAGAAUGAUGUGGAAAUGUGCAGAUUUAUAUAUAUAUAUUUGUGUGUGUGUGUUACUUUUUGGGAUUCAGGUUGAUUUAAAGAAAAACCCUCAGGACCCUGAGAAAUACGAAAAAGCUACUAUUGAUAGCACAGUUACUGUAAAUAUGAUCCAACUAUGUUACAUUCUUGUACUUUAUCCCAUUGUCAGCUUCCCAGAAAGCAAUUUGAAAACAUUUGUAGAUGGCAUGAGUUUAUGUGACGCAUUUUGCGUUUCUGGGAAGCUGU
Long non-coding RNA from Sinocyclocheilus grahami, 694 nucleotides. RefSeq lists it as uncharacterized. Lineage: Eukaryota; Metazoa; Chordata; Actinopteri; Cypriniformes; Cyprinidae. The transcript is spliced from 3 exons. The record is from RefSeq and is a predicted model, not a curated record.